This is a long non-coding RNA of Centropristis striata (black sea bass), 1087 nucleotides long. RefSeq lists it as uncharacterized. NCBI's taxonomy places the organism in Eukaryota, Metazoa, Chordata, Actinopteri, Perciformes, Serranidae. The transcript is spliced from 3 exons. The record is from RefSeq and is a predicted model, not a curated record.
UUUAUAGUCAUUUUGUGUCUUUUUGGUCAUUAUAUCUAAAGUGACUCUGGUUUCUGUUUCGAAAAUCUGUUCGUCCUGACCACAGAUCGUGACGCAGGAGUAGGGGGCGGGGCUUAACCCUCCCUGUCCCUCCCACCUGCAGCUGGUCAGCAGGUAAAUGAUUAAACUGUGUACCUGUACAGUGAAACCAGUCUGCAGCCCGGAAGACAAACACCGCUGGACAGAAAGGCGAAGUUUUAGAAAGACAACAAUGUUUUAGGUUCCACAAACAUUUGUUUCAGUUGUCCGUCAUCAUCACCUGGACUCAUGUUUUUGUCUAAAACCCACAAAAGUACAGUCGGCGCCGAGCUCACUUGAAGUUUCACCCACAAGCUAAAAUCGUGACGCAGGAGUAGGGGGCGGGGCUUAACCCUCCCUGUCCCUCCCACCUGCAGCUGGUCAGCAGGUAAAUGAUUAAACUGUGUACCUGUACAGUGAAACCAGCCUGCAGCCCGGAAGACAAACACCGCUGGACAGAAAUGCGAAGUUUUAGAAAGACAACAAUGUUUUAGGUUUCACAAACAUUUGUUUCAGUUGUCCGUCAUCAUCACCUGGACUCAUGUUUGUGUCUAAAGCCCACAAAAGUACAGUCGUCGUCGAGCUCACUUGAAGUUUCACCCACAAGCUAAAAUCGUGACGCAGGAAUAGGGGGCGGGGCUUAACCUCCCUGUCCCUCCCACCUGCAGCUGGUCAGCAGGUAAAUGAUUAAACUGUGUACCUGUACAGUGAAACCAGCCUGCAGCCCGGAAGACAAACACCGCUGGACAGAAAGGCGAAGUUUUAGAAAGACAACAAUGUUUUAGGUUCUACAAACAUUUGUUUCAGUUGUCCGUUAUCAUCACCUGGACUCAUGUUUUUGUCUAAAGCCCACAAAAGUACAGUCGGCGUCGAGCUCACUUGAAGUUUCACCCACAAGCUAAAGUUGUCUUUUUUUAGUCAUAUUGUGUCUUUUUUUAGUCAUUUUGUGUCUUUUUCUUAAGUCAUUUUGUGUCUUUUUUUAGUCAUUUUGUGUCUUUUUGUGUCUUUUCUAGUCAUUGUGUCUUUUUUA